UACCUCUCAGGGCCCUCAAGGCUUUUCCUGUGGCUUCUGACAGGUGCAGCCAACGACGACGACUUCUAAGCCAUUAAGCUCACGGCACUGGGGAGACCCCAGUUUCUGCUGCAGUUCUCAGACAGGCCGACCAAAUGGAGAUGCUUCUUUCACCAAAUGGCUGCAAAGCAAGGGCAAAUGGGCCUGGAUGCCAUGGUCACCAAGCUGGAGGUGGCAGUGCUGUAGGAAAGCGUCACAAAGAUGGGCAUCACAUCCAGGGCUGAGAUUGAGGACUGGUUCAUGGCAGAGACCCUGGGAGUGUCUUGCUGAGAACAGCCCCCAGGCUG
Long non-coding RNA from Cebus imitator (Panamanian white-faced capuchin), 326 nucleotides. RefSeq lists it as uncharacterized. The record is from RefSeq and is a predicted model, not a curated record. The transcript has 3 exons. NCBI's taxonomy places the organism in Eukaryota, Metazoa, Chordata, Mammalia, Primates, Cebidae.